Molecule: ribosomal RNA, 711 nt
Filed under: uncultured bacterium
Lineage: Bacteria
Description: bacterial SSU rRNA
Rfam family: Bacterial small subunit ribosomal RNA
Source: RNAcentral
AGCGGCGGACGGGUGAGUAACACGUGGGCAACCUGCCUCAUAGAGGGGAAUAGCCUUCCGAAAGGGAGAUUAAUACCGCAUAAGAUUGUAGUACCGCAUGGUACAGCAAUUAAAGGAGCAAUCCGCUAUGAGAUGGGCCCGCGGCGCAUUAGCUAGUUGGUGAGGUAACGGCUCACCAAGGCGACGAUGCGUAGCCGACCUGAGAGGGUGAUCGGCCACAUUGGGACUGAGACACGGCCCAGACUCCUACGGGAGGCAGCAGUGGGGAAUAUUGCACAAUGGGGGAAACCCUGAUGCAGCAACGCCGCGUGAGUGAUGACGGCCUUCGGGUUGUGAAGCUCUGUCUUCAGGGACGAUAAUGACGGUACCUGAGGAGGAAGCCACGGCUAACUACGUGCCAGCAGCCGCGGUAAUACGUAGGUGGCGAGCGUUGUCCGGAUUUACUGGGCGUAAAGGGAGCGUAGGCGGAUUUUUAAGUGAGAUGUGAAAUACUCGGGCUUAACCUGAGUGCUGCAUUUCAAACUGGAAGUCUAGAGUGCAGGAGAGGAGAAGGGAAUUCCUAGUGUAGCGGUGAAAUGCGUAGAGAUUAGGAAGAACACCAGUGGCGAAAGCGCUUCUCUGGACUGUAACUGACGCUGAGGCUCGAAAGCGUGGGGAGCAACAGGAUUAGAUACCCUGGGUAGUCCACGCCGUAACGAUGAAUACUAGUGU